GGUAAUACCAGAUAAUGUCCUUCGGGACCAAAGAUUUAUCGGCAUUGGAGCGGCCUAUCUCCUAUCAGCUUGUUGGUGAGGUAACGGCUCACCAAGGCAACGACGGGUAGCGGGACUGAGAGGUUGGCCCGCCACAUCGGGACUGAGACACUGCCCGGACCUCCACGGAGGGCUGCAGUAACGGAUAUUGGGCAAUGGGCGAAAGCCUGACCCAGCAAUGCCGCGUGCAGGAUGAAGCCCCUAGGGGUGUAAACUGCUGUCAGGGGUCAGAAAGCUGGUUUCGGCCAGUUGAUCAACCCCAGAGGAAGUCACGGCUAACUUCGUGCCAGCAGCCGCGGUAAUACGAAGGUGGCAAGCGUUAUUCGGAAUCAUUGGGCUUAAAGGGCACGCAGGCGGAACAGUGUGUGUUGUGUGAAAUCCCCCGGCUUAACCGGGGAAUUGCACAGCAAACUGCUGUUCUUGAGGCAGGUAGGGGUGCAUGGAACUCUUGGUGGAGCGGUGGAAUGUGUAGAUAUCAAGAGGAACGCCAGAGGUGAAGACGGUGCACUGGCACUGUCCUGACGCUGAGGUGCGAAAGCCGUGGGGAGCGAACGGGGUUAGAUACCCCGGUAGUCCACGCCGUAAACGAUGUCUACUAGGUCGUGGGUGUUCUGACACAUUCACGGCCGGAGCAAAAGUGUUUAGUAGACCGCCUGGGGAGUACGGCCGCAAGGUUAAAACUCAAAUGAAUUGACGGGGGCUCACACAAGCGGUGGAGCAUGUGGAUUAAUUCGAAGCAACGCGCAGAACCUUACCUGGGUUUGACAUGCUUGUAUGCCUUCUCUGAAAGGAGUUAGGCUGCCUUCGGGUGAAACUUGCACAGGUGCUGCGUGGCUGUCGUCAGCUCGUGUCGUGAGAUGUCGGGUUAAGUCCUUUAACGAGCGAAACCCUUGCCGUUAGUUGCCAGCGAGUAAUGUCGGGGACUCUAACGGGACUGCCGGUGUUAAACCGGAGGAAGGUGGGGAUGACGUCAAGUCCUCAUGGCCUUUAUGCCCAGGGCUUCACACGUGCUACAAUGGCAAUUACAGAGCGACGCGAUACCGCGAGGUGGAGCAAAUCGCAAAAAAAUUGCCUCAGUUCGGAUUGCAGGCUGGCAAUUCGCCUGCAUGAAGUCGGAAUCGCUAGUAAUCGCGUAUCAGCAAUGACGCGGUGAAUGUGUUCCUGAGCCUUGUACACAC
Molecule: ribosomal RNA, 1217 nt
Filed under: uncultured organism
Description: bacterial SSU rRNA
Rfam family: Bacterial small subunit ribosomal RNA
Source: RNAcentral